Molecule: ribosomal RNA, 590 nt
Filed under: uncultured bacterium
Lineage: Bacteria
Description: bacterial SSU rRNA
Rfam family: Bacterial small subunit ribosomal RNA
Source: RNAcentral
CGAUGGGCGCAGCUGACGGUGCACGCCGCGUGAGGGAUGAAGGCCUCUGGGCUGUAAACCUCCUUUCUCAAGGAAGAAGAUCUGACGGUACUUGAGGAAUAAGCCACGGCUAAUUCCGUGCCAGCAGCCGCGGUAAUACGGGAGUGGCAAGCGUUAUCCGGAAUUAUUGGGCGUAAAGCGUCCGCAGGCGGCCUUGAAAGUCUGUCGUUAAAGCGUGGAGCUUAACUCCAUUUCGGCGGUGGAAACUACAAGGCUUGAGUGUGGUAGGGUCAGAGGGAAUUCCCGGUGUAGCGGUGAAAUGCGUAGAUAUCGGGAAGAACACCAGUGGCGAAGGCGCUCUGCUGGGCCAUAACUGACGCUCAUGGACGAAAGCCAGGGGAGCGAAAGGGAUUAGAUACCCCUGUAGUCCUGGCCGUAAACGAUGAACACUAGGUGUCGGGGGAAUCGACCCCCUCGGUGUCGUAGCUAACGCGUUAAGUGUUCCGCCUGGGGAGUACGCACGCAAGUGUGAAACUCAAAGGAAUUGACGGGCGGCCGCACAAGCGGUGGAGUAUGUGGUUACUUCGAUGGCACGCGAAGAACUUACAGGU